Sciurus carolinensis (gray squirrel) is the source of this 1705-nucleotide long non-coding RNA. RefSeq lists it as uncharacterized. The transcript is spliced from 5 exons. Lineage: Eukaryota; Metazoa; Chordata; Mammalia; Rodentia; Sciuridae. The record is from RefSeq and is a predicted model, not a curated record.
GUGAGACACUUGAUUUCUUUAUUAAACAUCCAAGACCGGGUUCAGAUGGAGGGGACGGGGGGCGCACACGCGCCAGGCGCACACGCGCGCGCAGGGAGCAGGGGCAGCAGCCCGAGCCCGGGAAGGCGGUCGGUUUCUUCUUCUUCUUCUUCUUCUUUUUCUUCUUCUUCUUCUUCUUCCUUCUCCGCUGUCCCUCCUCCUCCUCCACCGCCGCCUCCUCCUCCACCGCCUCCUCCUCCACCGCCUCUGCUCUUCCUCCUCCUCCUCCCCGGUCUCGAUGGCGGACUCGCGCAGGGGGCGAGAUCACUCACGUGUUUAUUGAGCAUUUACUACCUGCCUACUGUGGAAACUCAACAGCCAUAGAGAAUGUCCUAGUCCUAUUGGUGUUUAUAUUAUACUGGGGGAGAGCAGACAAGGAGUCCCCUGAUAUCUAGCCUUUGCUUAUGUGCUACCUUCUCCCAGAGGUCCACCUUAUCUCUCUCUCUCUCGCUCUCUCUCCACACACACACACACACACACACACACACACACUCCUCAUCCCAUUUCCCCUUUUUUACUUUUGCCCAUGGCUUAUCAGUAUGGCACAAGUUAUGUGCAGUUUUCUCUUUGAGGUCCUCUCCAGAUAUAAGCUGCGUUGGGAAGUCAGGUUUUUGCCUCUUUGGUUCCAUUAUUUCCCUAAUGAUGGCAAAGCCCCAGGUGUUUUGUUAGGGAACCCCCCAAUAUUUGUGGGCUGGAUGAAAAGAAAGCAAACACAUAUGUACCAUAGUUUCAGAGCAAUGAGCCCCGGGAAGAUGUUCAAACUGGGUGCUGUGAUAGGUCCCAAAGGAGAAGGCGGCUCCAGAUUCAUCAUUCCAGCCGAGGCGGCCUGAAGCCAGUGUGUGACCACUGAGCACCUCGGCAGACCAGGCACCUCUCAAGGAGUUGUGGACCUAUCAGUGAGCGGGGUAAACCUGGACCUGCCCUCAGGGAACUCUCCUUCCAGUGGGAGGUGCAAACAAGUAAGAGGAAGCCUGCCCAGAUGCAUCCCAUGGGAUUCAAACUUCUCCAGUCCAUUUCUUGUUAAAGCAGAGACUCAAGGGAGAGUAUGGUUGUCCAUAUUGAAGCCCCCCUGGCAGGGAGAACUCAUUCAUGCUUGGACACCACGGCCAUGAUAACCUUGGAAGUGGACCCAGGAGGCUUCCAGGAGCUGUGGUGUUCACAGGCAGGGUGCUGGUUACCGCGGUACACUCACUCUAUGGACAUCAAUUAGCCAUACACCUCAGAUUUGUGUACUCCUGCAUAUUUGUUGGAAAAUGUAAUUCAUUCACAUCCAGCCGAAAACACCUUAUCCGUUGGAGAUGCUUGCUCAACCAACACAGAAUGGUUGCUGAGUGGGCAGGGAAGAGGCAUGAACAUCUCUUACGUUUCUCCCUUGGAGUUGGCUACCUACAGUUGGUGACAGUGUUUUGCUACUGCUGAGGAAUCCAGAACAAGUCUCUGGCCCAGUAAUCCAUUGCUGAACUUCAUUAACCGCAGGAAGACCUUAAGUGAACGUAAGGACCGGAACAGUCUGGGGACUAGGUGACUGCAGCCUUUAAGUCCCAGGCUCUGGUAUAUUUUAUGCCAACUCAACUGUGUAUCAACCUCGUCUUCCUGGACUCAUUAGAAUUGUGUGCCCAAAGGUGCCCUCAACUUUCAGAAGCAAAUACAGAAUGAUAUAAUUCGC